This 221-nucleotide unclassified non-coding RNA is filed under the name soil metagenome. RNAcentral describes it as "partial contains 5.8S ribosomal RNA, internal transcribed spacer 2, and large subunit ribosomal RNA". The record is from RNAcentral.
AACGGUCUAUACCUGCGGUACCUGCGGAAGGAUCAUUAAAGAGAAAACUGCCCUUUGGGUAGAUUUCCCACCCUUUGUUUACUUUACCUUUGUUGCUUUGGCAGGCCCGUCUUCUGACCACCGGCUUCUAGCUGGUCCGUGCCUGCCAGAGGACCCCCAACUCUUGAUUUUAAGUUGUCCGAGUCUUAUAUAAUAGUAAAAACUUUUAACAACGGAUCUCU